Molecule: RNA transcript, 1438 nt
Organism: Solanum dulcamara
Lineage: Eukaryota; Viridiplantae; Streptophyta; Magnoliopsida; Solanales; Solanaceae
Exons: 8
Source: RefSeq, a predicted model, not a curated record
CCCACCCGCUCAUUUUAGAACUCAUCACCAUCAUCAUACGCCGGCGCAACUUUUAGACUACUCCACUGGAUUGCUGUCCCGGUGACGAUGUCCGAUCAAAACCCAAAAUCAAUUUUCCCUGCGAUCAAGUAAUUCUACUGUUCUUCCCAACCAUUAAAAAGAAAGAAGGAAAAUUGGAGAACUCGUUGAAGUUACAUGGGUAUUCUUGGAACCCUAAAUCAGAUAUCUUGGAAUUCAAGAACUCGUUGAAGUUACAUGGGUAUUCUUGGAAGUCGUUAAAUCCUUAAUCAGAUUAUUCUUGGAAUUCGAGAAUUUGACAUUGUCAGAUUGACUUGUGGAGGUGGGCUGCUGAAAACAUCAUAGGAUCUGGUGUUCCACGAGAUGGACUGGUGCUGAUGGGAGAAAGAUAUGAUAUACCUGUGAAUUAUGAGGUCAAGAAAAAGAGGUGCAGGGCCCAGUGUUGCAAAGCUACACUUCAGCUUCCUUCCCCGCAGCCAAAGAAACUAACUGGAGAGUGCACUGUCAGGAGAGAGAUUCGAUCUCCGCAGAAUAUUCUGUGGGGAAGUGCUUCCGAAUAGCGUGAUCCUGAGUCCGGAUUCCUUUGUCAGAUUGAAAGUUCAAGUCGGUUAAUUGAUCAAUCUCUUGCUGAUUGCACAGUUGGGGUAAACUUGAAAUCCAGAAGCUCUGCGCAACCCCUUUCAUCCGAUGCCAGAAACUAGAGUUGUAAGGAGACUGCAGCAUUCUGCAAAAUCCAUCUCCUCAGAGCUUCCAUAGCACCCGUCCCAUCACUGUUAUCAAUCUUCCACCCCAAGUUGUGGUGACAGUGUAUUCUCUGAUGAAAGGUCAAGUGUGAAAAUGAAACUUGUUAACAUCUGGAAUAGCAAGUUACAAGCUCUAGGGGAGUGCACAAGUAUACACGAUGGGGAGUCAAAAGAAGUUUGAACUUAGUCUCCUGAUUUUUGUUUACCCAAUCAUUCCUGACCUGAAUAAGAGCAUAGGGAGUCAAAAAAGUACACACGAUGGGGAGUCAAAAGAAGUACACGCGAUGGGGAGUCAAAAGAAGGAUAGGUUAUGGAAUCAAGACACAUUUGUCAACAAUGCAAGGCUAUGAGUAUUUACAGGCAAAAAUUCUCUUUAAUGUACCUGCAUAGCAUUACUCAUUUUAUUUUUCACCGCGUAAUAAUCCCCACAUUAUUAUUUACGACAUAACAGUUUUUACAUUAUUAUAACCGCACAACUAAUACUUUAACAAAUAAUGUCUUCCUAUCAUGUAUUGCAAUUUUGUUAUAUUACUGAAGAAAAAGAAGAGUGAUAUAGGGUGCUUUAUCUUUUGCUUCAUUCUGGUGGAGUAUAUUCUUGUGUAGAAACUUAGGUCCAUGUCAUAAUAAAUGUGCGUCCAUUUUUACAUAGUCAAGGAUUAUGAACUUUUUUAUUAUUA